Molecule: long non-coding RNA, 617 nt
Organism: Drosophila ananassae
Lineage: Eukaryota; Metazoa; Arthropoda; Insecta; Diptera; Drosophilidae
Exons: 3
Source: RefSeq, a predicted model, not a curated record
AUUUUAAGGUCUAACUUGACAAUCCUCUUUCCAGAAAACCCGACAUAAACCUAGUAAUUUAUAGGAUCUACAUCUGGGAAUAUUAAUGUCACAUUAUUCAAAAACAGGAUUUGUUGCUCCCCAAACGAACAUGGUGGAUGGACCCCACUGUGCCUGCGUCCCCCAAAGGCAAUGUGGGGAGAGCCAGUCAGUCAGUGAGUGAGUGAGUGAGCAGGUAAGAGAGCCAGUGAACAGUGAGAGUGCCUGCCUGCCUCCCUGCCUGCCAGCCUGCCAGCCUGACCUGGCAUGUGUUUAUUGUUAUUGUUGGUGUGUUUCAAGAUCGCGUUCUAAUGCGGUGCGUGGAACAGAGAGGGGGCUAAUGCUUGGGGCCAGAACGAACGAUAGAGACGUACGUACGUACUACGUACGUAGAACUUGCUUGCACUUUGCUUGCCAAAAUCCACAAACAACAAAGGCCUGCCUCCUUUGUUUACAUUCGUUCUUUGUCUGGAGUGUUGCAUGGCGUUUGGAAAGUCAUGCUGCAAUGUGUUACCUGCCUUGUUGGUGGGUCUACCACCCUCCAGGCGUCCGACCCUCCCCCUCCCCCUCCCCAGCGCCCUUUGUUACGCCUUCUUGGA